ACCUCUGUGGUGAAAUAGGGUAUCACAGCAGACUUCUUUCUGCUAUUCUAGGUUCGACUCCUAGCAAGGGCG
This 72-nucleotide transfer RNA is filed under the name Bacillus phage phiNIT1. It matches the Rfam family "tRNA". Rfam says of the family: Transfer RNA (tRNA) molecules are approximately 80 nucleotides in length. Their secondary structure includes four short double-helical elements and three loops (D, anti-codon, and T loops). The record is from Rfam by way of RNAcentral. Lineage: Duplodnaviria; Heunggongvirae; Uroviricota; Caudoviricetes; Herelleviridae. RNAcentral also lists the same sequence under 2 other names.